GUCAGAGGAACAAAGACUAAAUACGCCGCGUCCUGCGGCAGCGUCUUUGUGAUCCCCAUUCUGAGGG
Molecule: small RNA, 67 nt
Filed under: Bacillus sp. MUM 13
Lineage: Bacteria; Bacillati; Bacillota; Bacilli; Caryophanales; Bacillaceae
Description: Bacillaceae-1 RNA
Rfam family: Bacillaceae-1 RNA
Source: Rfam by way of RNAcentral